AUUACUAAAGGAUAACAGUCCAUCCGUUGGUCUUAGGAACCAGAAACUCUUGGUGCAACUCCAAGUAGUAAUU
Molecule: transfer RNA, 73 nt
Filed under: Coryphaenoides alateralis
Lineage: Eukaryota; Metazoa; Chordata; Actinopteri; Gadiformes; Macrouridae
Also listed under: 1 other name
Description: tRNA-Leu
Rfam family: tRNA
About the family: Transfer RNA (tRNA) molecules are approximately 80 nucleotides in length. Their secondary structure includes four short double-helical elements and three loops (D, anti-codon, and T loops). Further hydrogen bonds mediate the characteristic L-shaped molecular structure. tRNAs have two regions of fundamental functional importance: the anti-codon, which is responsible for specific mRNA codon recognition, and the 3' end, to which the tRNAs corresponding amino acid is attached (by aminoacyl-tRNA synthetases). tRNAs cope with the degeneracy of the genetic code in two manners: having more than one tRNA (with a specific anti-codon) for a particular amino acid; and 'wobble' base-pairing, i.e. permitting non-standard base-pairing at the 3rd anti-codon position.
Source: RNAcentral